RNAcentral lists this long non-coding RNA (207 nucleotides) under Homo sapiens (human). Its description in RNAcentral is "non-protein coding lnc-SSX2-2:1". Lineage: Eukaryota; Metazoa; Chordata; Mammalia; Primates; Hominidae. The record is from RNAcentral.
CCCAGUGAGGAAAAGAAGUAUUAAACGCUAUUGUUAUUAAAGAAACCAAAGAUCGUGAUGCUUGGAAGGUGAUUCUAAGACUCGAGAUAAUGGACUUCUGGCCAAGCCAACCCAUGGUGACAUCGUCAGGUUUGCGCCUCCACUGGUGAUCAAGGAGGAUGAGAUUCGAGAGUCCAGUGAAAUCAUUAACAAGACCAUCUUGUCUUU